Molecule: regulatory RNA element, 35 nt
Organism: Bacteroides sp. CAG:189
Lineage: Bacteria; Pseudomonadati; Bacteroidota; Bacteroidia; Bacteroidales; Bacteroidaceae
Rfam family: DUF805b RNA
About the family: Bacteroidetes, Chlorobi (1 example), Proteobacteria.
Source: Rfam
AAGGCGAAUUCGAAAAGCCUGUAAUAGAGUAGAGA